UAGGAGCACCACUUUUCUGUUAAAUUAAACUCCUUACUUAGCCUGGAAAUCACUUACCUUCCUAGGUUUCUUUUAGGUGAUUGGUCCAUUAUGAACCUGGAAGAUGAGCCAGCUGCCACGUAAGUGGACUUUCCAGCCUCAGAUGACCACAGCCCCCCACUGACACCAGGAUUACAGCUGAGUAGUUACAUGCUUACAUUCUAAACUGCCUUUUAGAAUUGCCAGGUCUGGAUUCAAGGGACAACUUCAUAUCACUGCAGCCACCUUGACCUCUUCCAGAGAGCAGCUGGCUAUGGGAAACCAUUACAGAAAUAUUCAAGAAAAACUUAAUCUCCCCAUUUAGCCACAGGGAAGACAUGGAGGACAGGAUUUUAGCUUUAAGCCUUAAAUGUUCAGGACUGAAGGAGUUAGCCUCAAAAUUACUUAUAAAUUUCAUCAAAUAUUGAGUGUCUGCUUUGUGCCAGGAAAAUGUCUACUGUUUGGCUGAUCUCCUUGCAUGUCCCUUUUGAUGAUUUCCUGUUUUUGUCCCAUUUUCUUCUUUUAGUGAGGAAUCAAGGUUCUCAGUGUAAUCGAGUUACUCAGCCUACCGAAAUCGUUUUGAUUUCUAUUCACAGGUGUUUUGCCUGUGUUUACCUGAUGUUCCCUCUAGCUAAUCCAGGGAUUCUGUAUGUUUAAUUGUUGAUAUAAAGUGGCAGACACACUUUCGAGAUCUUAAUAGCAAGAAUGUAAGCAUUUCUUUUCUUUUUUUAAUCUUAGGAUUUAUGGCAAUUUCAUAGAAAUCUGACAGAGUUGGAUAAGAAACUGUAAUACUGUAUAUGAGAUAGAGAAGAUAUUUGAGGUGGCGGACGGCGGGGGGCUGUCCUUGAGCAAAACUGAAAUAGGCCAAGAGUUUCUUCUGAGGCUCAGUUUUCAUAAUUCACAAUCUGUUCCCCUCUUCUCCAGCCUCUUCCCCUGGGUACCUGUCAUGAAUCGUUACCCCAAACGAACUGCAUGAGCUAAUUUAUUAGGAAAGGAUAAAUGCUGAGUCAUGUUUCUCAUCCCAGAACCCUGCAUGCUUCUGCUUGAGGCUGUUGACUUCUGAGCCUGUCAUCUUGCCUUAAGAUGCACAGCUCUCUCUUCUCCCUACCUCUGCAAUUCUCCACUCAGCAUUUUCUGAUGAACUAGUGUUGUCUUCAGUUCUUCCCUCCAUCAGAAAACCACAUUAGAGGUCAUUUGAAUGUAAUCCUUGGCAAUGACAUUUUACCUUGCCUUUGGGUAGAAGUCACAGCUAAUGUCUGAGCAUUUGUGCUUCCUGGUUGUUGGUGGUUGGGGACAAAGCUAUGAAUUUCCAUUGAAUUAUUCUUCACUGCAAGAUUGUCACUCUACAACAGAGCAUCAUAACAAGAAAAAACAAAGGCAAGUGAUGAGAGAAAAAGGAAUUCCAUUCUCCCUAUAAC
This 1436-nucleotide long non-coding RNA is filed under the name Homo sapiens (human). RNAcentral describes it as "HSALNT0190831". The record is from RNAcentral. Lineage: Eukaryota; Metazoa; Chordata; Mammalia; Primates; Hominidae.